This 495-nucleotide ribosomal RNA is filed under the name uncultured bacterium. RNAcentral's name for it is "partial 16S ribosomal RNA". It matches the Rfam family "Bacterial small subunit ribosomal RNA", at positions 28 to 507 of the family's 1533-position model. The record is from RNAcentral.
GACGAACGCUGGCGGCGUGCCUAAUACAUGCAAGUAGAACGCUGAAGGAGGAGCUUGCUUCUCUGGAUGAGUUGCGAAAGGGUGAGUAACGCGUAGGUAACCUGCCUGGUAGCGGGGGAUAACUAUUGGAAACGAUAGCUAAUACCGCAUAAGAGUAGAUGUUGCAUGACAUUUGCUUAAAAGGUGCAAUUGCAUCACUACCAGAUGGACCUUCGUUGUAUUAGCUAGUUGGUGAGGUAACGGCUCACCAAGGCGACGAUACAUAGCCGACCUGAGAGGGUGAUCGGCCACACUGGGACUGAGACACGGCCCAGACUCCUACGGGAGGCAGCAGUAGGGAAUCUUCGGCAAUGGACGGAAGUCUGACCGAGCAACGCCGCGUGAGUGAAGAAGGUUUUCGGAUCGUAAAGCUCUGUUGUAAGAGAAGAACGAGUGUGAGAGUGGAAAGUUCACACUGUGACGGUAUCUUACCAGAAAGGGACGGCUAACUACGUG